AGAGUUUCGAUCCGUGGCUACAGGACGAACGCUGGCGGCGUGCUUAACACAUGCAAGUCGAACGAUGAAGCGGUGCUUGCACCGUGGAUUAGUGGCGAACGGGUGAGUAAUACGUGAGUGACCUACCUUUGACUCUGGGAUAAGCCUGGGAAACUGGGUCUAAUACCGGAUACGACCAAUCUCUGCAUGGGGUGUUGGUGGAAAGCGUUAUGGAGUGGUUUUAGAUGGGCUCACGGCCUAUCAGCUUGUUGGUGAGGUAAUGGCUUACCAAGGCGACGACGGGUAGCCGGCCUGAGAGGGUGACCGGCCACACUGGGACUGAGACACGGCCCAGACUCCUACGGGAGGCAGCAGUGGGGAAUAUUGCACAAUGGGCGCAAGCCUGAUGCAGCGACGCCGCGUGAGGGAUGACGGCCUUCGGGUUGUAAACCUCUGUUAGCAUCGAAGAAGCGAAAGUGACGGUAGGUGCAGAGAAAGCGCCGGCUAACCACGUG
RNAcentral lists this ribosomal RNA (494 nucleotides) under uncultured Rothia sp. Its description in RNAcentral is "bacterial SSU rRNA". It matches the Rfam family "Bacterial small subunit ribosomal RNA", at positions 1 to 507 of the family's 1533-position model. Lineage: Bacteria; Bacillati; Actinomycetota; Actinomycetes; Micrococcales; Micrococcaceae. The record is from RNAcentral.